UAUACAUAUAUACUGCCACUCAACGUAACUUUUUAUGUGCAACAUAGCAGAAUGAUUGUGUUCCGUUCCAGAAAUAUCAGCACAACAAGCACGGCAACAACUUCGGCCACAGCAACAACAUCUUAAGCCGUUUCGCAUAAAAUUUCACACACCAUUUUAGCCAAGUGCCACAUUACCUGCACACAAGAUGGGACUCGACUCGCCCCCAGACUCGAAUGUCCUGUGAACCAAACCAAACCAAACCAAACCAAGCCAAGCCAAACCAAGGAGGAAGAAAAAUAAAACGCUGGAAAAAUGCUGGAAAACACGAAACUGAACAUAAAAAAUACCUUUUGACACAUGCAAGCAGAACCGAAUGGGGGCGUGGCCAGAGCCAAAAGUGUUGGCCAGUUGAGCAGCACGGGUGGAAAGGCUGAAAAUCGGCGGGCAAGAACUGAAAUGGCGCCAGCCAAACGAGCUGAAAGGAAAAGAAAAAUCUUGAAAAUUGCAUUUUAAGAAGAACUUCGUGUGGCCAUAAGGAAAAAAUCUAUAAAAACACAUAGCUACACAUGUAAGGGUUUAUAUACCAAUACCUAUAUAUAUAUAUAUAUAUAUAUAUAUGCCACAGUCCGACUGAAUGCAGACGGAAUGGUAACAGGAUACAGGGAAGCUCAAUCUGGCAGUGACUUGGGGCCACAAUAGCCAUUCGGUUAUCCAGUCGGUCAGCAAAGCAUCCAGGAGGACCAAUCCAAUACAAUUUUAACGGUAAUGUGGUCCAAAAGCAAGCGAUGGCGAAAUUGAUAUGGCCACC
Molecule: non-coding RNA, 790 nt
Organism: Drosophila melanogaster (fruit fly)
Lineage: Eukaryota; Metazoa; Arthropoda; Insecta; Diptera; Drosophilidae
Source: Ensembl